GUCCCGGUGUCGCCCGCUGGCCGCGCUCGGGCUGCCCGGGAUUCUAGCUGCCAGGCUUCGCGUCGCCGAGCGGCAGGUCAGGCUCCUCGGAGCCUCUCCCUCCUGGCCCUUUGCUUGGACUCGGCCCCAGCUGCCCUGAGGCCUACCCACUAACUCGGCUGGCGCUAGCCUACCCUGUCUUGACCGCACCCUGAAGAUUUAGGAAGUCUUUCUCCAUCCCAAGAGUCGUCUCUGCAAAAGCUAAUGUCCUUCCUGGUGCUGAACCACACUUCUGCUCAAAAUCUGUUGAGCGCCGUCUGUCUGCAAAGCAAGGUGCCAGGAGCUUUGGCGGAGAAGCCGUGGGGUACAUGCAUAAAGAGUACAGGCUUUUGGUAAAACCCGAAGUUCUCCUCUACUUUCUGGGGGACCCUGGCCGUCCUUGCUGGGCCUCCCUUGACUCCUCUAAUGGGGACGGUAAUGCCUACCUGACCGCAAGCUGAGUAACUGAGCUAUGAGAGCAAACUGUGGUGCAAUUCUAGCGUGUGCCAGCCUCUCAAGCGUCAGUUUCCGUCUCGUUCCUCUUAAUCUUCACUAAAAUCCACAAGUAUUCAUUGAGCACCUAAUGCGUGUUCAGUAUGGUGGGAGAUGAGGGAUGACUGUAUUAUUUUUCUAUUUUUAUACGUUAGACAUAGGAACAAAAAGUUGAGUCUAUUGCCCAUAGCCAACCUUGUCUUCAUUUUCUGCUGUGGUUUAGGAGUCGGUAUAGUAAGUUAAGGGUUGUUGGAAGUGCAUUUUCACAGCUCCCGACUUCCACUUAAGAAUAGAUAAUACAGGGGACUUUGCGAGCUGGUUUCUUUCCCUCUCACUUUCAGAAGGGCUUCGAGGUAGCCACCACUGAAUUAGUUGAGAGACAAGGUACCCCUCCUGAGGAAAUCUCAAUUGCACAACCCCUACUAUGCCCCAACUGAGCAGGAAGCAGUUAGAGCAGUGGUCAAACCUCCCUAACAGCACUUGGGUUUUCCUGUUGAGAGAGGGAACUGAGAGCCAGGACUAGUUGGAUUUCCUAGGCUGACUAAGAAUGCCUAAGCCUAGCUGGGAAGAUGAGCGCAUCCACCUUUAAACACGGAGCUUGCAACUUAGCUUACACCCGACCAAUCAGGUAGUAAAGAGAGCUCACUAAAAUGCUAAUUAGGCAAAAACAGGAGGUAAAGAAAUAGCCAAUCAUCUGUCGCCUGAGAGCACAACAGGAGGGACAAUGAUCAGGAUAUAAACCUAUAGGCAUUCGAACGAGCAACAGCUACCCUCUUUGGGUCCCCUCCCUUUGUAAGGGAGCUCUGUUUUCAUUCUUAAAUCUUGCAACUGCACACACUUCUGGUCAGUGUUUGUUAUCGCUCAAGCUGAGCUUUCGCUCGCCGUCCACCACUGCUGUUUGCUGCUGUCGCAGACCAGCAGCUGACUGCCAUCCCUCUGGAUCCAGCAGGGCGUCCACUGUGCUCCUG
Molecule: long non-coding RNA, 1478 nt
Filed under: Macaca fascicularis (crab-eating macaque)
Lineage: Eukaryota; Metazoa; Chordata; Mammalia; Primates; Cercopithecidae
Description: lncRNA (ENSMFAG00000065025.1)
Source: RNAcentral